Clupea harengus (Atlantic herring) is the source of this 507-nucleotide long non-coding RNA. NCBI's taxonomy places the organism in Eukaryota, Metazoa, Chordata, Actinopteri, Clupeiformes, Clupeidae. The record is from Ensembl.
ACAAGCAUGUUGUACAAACCUCAGUGACACUUGGGUCGUUAGUCAGCACUGUAUUACCAUAACAAGUGACCGGAGAAGAAAGAGAGGAAAGAACAAGUGACCGGAGAAGAAAGAGAGGAAGAAGAAAGAGAGGAAGAAGAAAGAGAGGAAGAAGAGAGAGAGGAAAGCCAAAAAUAGAUGUGAGAAAAGAGGAACAGACUUGUGGUGGGGGGAAGGGUUGAUUUAGACCAGGGGAAUGAGUGAAAGAUGGAGAGAUAGAGAGAUAGAGAGAUGGAGAGAUGGAGAGGUGGAGAGGUAGAGAGAUAGAGAGAUAGAGAGAUGGAGAUGGAGAGGUGGAGAGAUGGAGAGAUAGAGAGGUGGAGAGAUGGAGAGAUAGAGAGAUAGAGAGAUAUAGAGAUGGAGAGGUGGAGAGAUGCAGAGAUGGAGAGGUGGAGAGAUAGAGAGAUGGAGAGAUGGAGAGAUAGAGAGAUGGAGAGAUAGAGAGGUGGAGAGAUGGAGAGAGAGAGA